GUUUGAUUAGAAUUAUAAUAGACUUUUAUUUUGUUUUGUUUUAUUUUUAAUUAUGUUAUAUUAGUCACCAUACAGUACAUAAUUGGUUUUUGAUACAGUGUUCCCUGAUUCAUUGUUUGCAUAUAACACCCAGUGCUCCAUGAAAUCCGUGCCCUCCUUAAUACCCAUCACCAGUCUUACCCAUACCCUUAGCCCCCUUCCCUUCUAAAACCCUCAGUUUUAGAUAGACUCUCAUGAUAGAGUUUGAAUUACUUUUAGAAAGUUAGUCCUUUUUGAAAAUACAUUCUAAAAUUAUAUAAUGUUAAAGCUAUAAAGACUUUAAAUGCCACCACUAGUCUCUCCAUCUCAUUAUAUAUUAUUUUUCAAUUUUCAAAAUAUCUUUUCCUGAUUAUGACUAAAGUAGUCAUUUUAGAAAAUUAGAAGAAAUGGUUAAGCAGUAGAAAGGAUAAAUAUCCUAAUUCUAUCAUUUAUAGAUAAAUCACACUUGUCACUUGCAUUUUUAUUUCCUUUUAGAAAAUUCAAAGUAUAUUAUAUAUUUGUAAUUCAUUAAAUGUAAUAUGAAAUUUUCAUUAAUAAACAUUCUUCUCCACCAUCUUAAAAGUAAAGGUAGUUUUCAUUCACUAUUAUUAACAAAGCUACUCUGAAGAUAUUUGGAACUGAAGAUUGUGCUUAUCCAUGAUUAUUUUCUUAAGAUAAAUUUCCAGAAGUGGGAACCACGUAGGAAAAGAAAUGUGAAAAUCUAAGUGUUUUGAUACAUAUUGCAAAUUGUUCUCUAGAAAGGCAGUACCAAUUUAUAUUUGUAACAAUAGGGUUUGUGAUUGAUCUUUUAUCCAUUUCCUUGUCACCAUUUAGUACUAUAUUUUUUAAUGUUUGCACAGUUGAUAAGCAUAAAUCUUAUCAAUUAUAUAUGUUUUACUAAUGAAGUUGGUAUUUCAGGUUUUUCUUAGUCUUUGUGUUUUUUUACUGUGAAUUGCCUAUUAAUGAAAUUUGGCCAUUUUUUUUGGCUAUUGGUUUUUUUUGUCCUUAAGAGCUCUUUAGGUGUUAAAAAUAUUAACCCUUUCAGUAAUAUGUAUUUCUUUGUCGCCUUUAAGAAGUGUUUUUUGUUAUAUAGAAUUUUGCAUUUUUAUGGAUCUAUAAUUUUCUAUUGAAGUUUUCUGCCUUUGGUGCCAUAUUUGAGAAGAGUUUGUCACAAGAUCCUACAUAUAGUCACUUGUGUUCUGUUCUAUUAUUAUUACAGAUAUUUGUGUGCGUGUAUUUGAUUAUCUAGUGUCUAUUUUUGUGUAAGAGAGUAAAACAAAGAUUUUCUUUUAGGUCAUCAGUAAAUUUGUGAUUUUCUUCAUAUAAGUUCUAAACAUUCCCUGUUAAAUUUAUUCUUAGGAAUCUUAAAUUUUUGUUACUUAUAUCAGUGAAAUUGUUUUUUCAUUAUUUUAUUAAAUGGCUCAUUGUAAGCAUAAAGGAAAUUAUUUUUGGUAUAUGCAUAUUAUUCAGGAAUGUUAGUGGUUUCUCAUCUUGUCUUUGAUUUGGAAAGAAUGCUACUACUUUGCCAUCAAGCAUCAUUUUAAAUGUUUAAAUAGCUGUCUUUUUUUAGAUUAAUGAAAUUUAUUUCUAUUCCUAGUUUAUUAAAACUAUGUGGAUGUGAUGUAGAUUAGAUAUAAAUCAGUUCGAGAGGAAAGGAAAAUAAUCCACUGGGAGGAUAGAGAAGCUACUUUGAACCUUUAAUCUUUGUGGCAGAUUACAUUAAUAACUUUUCCAGAGUUGAGACAUUCUUAUAUUCUUAGGUCAUACUUUUUUAUUGCAUUACUGGAUUUGAUUUGUUAUUGUUUUGUGUGGAUAGUUACAUCUGUGUUUGAUAAGAUAUGAUUUUCUUUUGGUUUUGGUGUCAAAAUUAUACUAACCCCAGAAAAUGAUUUACUUAGUUUUAUUUCUUUUUCUAGUCUGUAGACUACAGAGCAUGGUAGUUGUAUAGGGAUAUCAUUUGUUAUCCAUAUAUGUGUAUGGAUAUCAUUUGUUCUUUGGAUGUUUGUCAAAAGUCAACUAUGAACUUCUGUUGAUUUAAUUAUUAUUUAUAUUUUGCAGAGGGGAAUAGGUAGAUUGGUAGAAAAGCUAUGUGGAAAUUAGCAGAUUUCAUAAAUGUCAACUUGGGUAAAUUGUCAAAACAUAAUAUUAAGUUAAAAAAAGGCAAAUUACCAAAUAAUAUGUACAGUUGAUACCAUUUCUUUACAUUUUAAAAACACAUAAGAAGUGUUUAUAUUCUCUAAAUAUAUGUACACACAUAUAUAUAAAUAUGUUAAUGGGAUGGGAAGGAUGCAAACAAAACUAAUAAUAGUGAAUCUUUCAGGGAAGGGGGAACACAUGAAUAGAACUGUAGAGAUUAUGGUAAAAAGGAAAUCUGAACCUUAUACUUUGUUGAAUAAAUUUCAAAUUUUAUUUUAUAACAUAGUUGUAAGCAAAUACUAAAAUGUCAACAGUAGUCCAUUCUGGGUUGUGGGAACAUAAAAACACUGGUAAUUUUUUUCUUUUAAUUUUCAAAAGAAUUUCAAAAAUUUUGACUUCUGGAUUUUAUCAGAUAAUUUUUGAGGAUCUAUUGCAGUGACCUUUAGAUGAAUUAUACUAACAAAAAUUUUAAUUACUUUUAUUGCUAAAUAUGUUUUAUUGAUUUUUUUAAUUUGGACUUUAACACAUAUUAUUUGUAUUUUUGUAAUAUCUUUUCUAGGUUGUAUGAUCAAGAACUAGUUUUGUGUUACUAUUAUUGUGCUCCUUGAAAACUUUCAGUGUUUCCUUGCUUCCUGCAAAAUAAAGCCAGGACUUUGAGAUUAACAUUAACAUCUUUCUAAAUAUGACCCCAUUCUCAUUGAUUAAUGAUAUCUGUAACUCCCAAGUACACAGCCUUCUUUCUUAUUAAAUGAAAACUGAUUUUA
Long non-coding RNA from Mustela lutreola (European mink), 2918 nucleotides. RefSeq lists it as uncharacterized. Lineage: Eukaryota; Metazoa; Chordata; Mammalia; Carnivora; Mustelidae. The record is from RefSeq and is a predicted model, not a curated record. The transcript is spliced from 2 exons.